UCUAACUCGUUUUGUUGGACUCGGUUUUACCCAACAUGUACUUAACCCCGGUUUUACCCGACAUGUACUUUACUAAAUUCUAAUAUAUUUGAUUUUACCCAACUCGUUUUGUUGGCACAUAAAAAUUGGAAAUAGAAAUAAUAAUAAUUGGGCUUAUAAUCUCUAACCUAAUAAAAUGAGUUUGAUUUACACUUGGGCCCAACCCAUUUAUUCAACCUAAAUAUAUAAGUCAGUGUGUUAUACUAAAAACCCUAAAACCAUAAACACACAUUCAGCAGCCGACAUCAUCUUUCAACAUCUGCUUUCUCUGUCCGAUCAUCGGCGACCGGUACCGGUUACGGCCGGCUACCGGGGUCCCGUGCUUGCUCGCAUGUCACCCCACACAACCCCAAGCUCCCUCUUCAUCUUAACCCGCCGCACAUACGCUGCCCUGUCCAAAGAGAGAGAGAGAGAGAGAGAGAGAGAGACAUCGGAGAACAGGAGAGAUCGGAGAUCGGAGCACAUACGCGGCGACUUUAAUUCCUUCCGACAAGUUCACCGGUAAAACAUGGUGGUGUUCUUGAUGAAAUAAUCCAAUCAUUGCAACAUCAAGUUGAGGUUCCUAAAUGUAUCUUUAUUUGGGCAAAAUGGGAGGCACUCAGGCUGCUAAAUGGGAUCUGGGCUGGCAUAAUAUAUUGGAGUGGAUUUCAGCUUGUUAAACAAAUGACGUGCUGACGCAGAUGAACUACAGUCCAACAGAAGCAAUGUUACAAACUGCUAUGAGAACCUUUUUGACUUGCAAGACUACACGUAUGUUAAGCUCGAUCGCCUUGAUGAGUUGGAGAUUACAAAAUUCGGUAACAUCAAACCUGGAAGUUUGUUUUUUGAAGCUUAUGUUGGCAAAGUCAUGUAUGCUAAAGAAAGUAAGAGUGUACCGAUUUCCUUGCUUGAAUUUUUUAUUUAAUUUGUUUUCUAAAUCUUACUCUUACACCAUGUUGUAUGAGCGUUUAACAUCAAAGCUUACAUUUGAUGCUUGUUUUAGUUGCAGUUAUAUGAAGUAGUUGACUGGUAAGGCAUCUUGUAGAAUUUGCCACCAGAACUUCAGCGCUACUGUCACAGGGUCGGGCCAAUGCGUUUGAAGGCCCAAGGCGAAUCUAAAUGCCGAGGUCCAUUAUGAACCAACGUUUUCUGCUGCUCAUCAUCCAAACUGGUGCAUUAUAUAGCACAAGAUCAUGGGCCUAAAUUUCUGGAGAAAACUUGCAAGAGAAGUGGAGAUCAUGGGCCUAAAUUUCUGGAGCAAAACCACCAGCAGAAAACUGCAAAUAACCUCCAUUAGAGUGGUUAUUUUUGGGAGUUUAAAGGGCUGAGAUUUAAUCUCAGCAUGAUCCGACGGUUGAGAUGGAUUUCAAAGUUAACUCCCACUUAAUGGGUUCCAUAUAUAUAUAUAAUAUU
Helianthus annuus (common sunflower) is the source of this 1431-nucleotide long non-coding RNA. RefSeq lists it as uncharacterized. NCBI's taxonomy places the organism in Eukaryota, Viridiplantae, Streptophyta, Magnoliopsida, Asterales, Asteraceae. The record is from RefSeq and is a predicted model, not a curated record. The transcript is spliced from 6 exons.